AUUACUCCAUGAAAACACUUACCCUCUAUUCACUUGCUGUUCCAUUGUUUUCUUUAGCACUCCACUCUUAAUUUAAAUUGACCUACCCACUAAUAGAAUUUAACUUAUUUCACUCAGCCUGUAAGAUACACCUGCAAUUCUCCCUUGCAUUUCCUCGGCAGGGUUGGAGAGCUUUCCACCUUUUUUCUGCCUUCCCCAGCUGUGCAUUCUCACCCUCCUCCCCGGGAGGUUGCUGCCCCACUUCAGCCCUGCUCCUCCCAUUGUUCUUCUAUCCCAGCUCUCAGCUGGAUCUGCCAAAUGAGCUAUUUAAACCCCUCCAACACUUAUGAGGAGGAAGAUUUUGUUUUGUUUUGCCUGGGACUAGAACACUUACCAGACUCAGUUUAGAAGUAGGGUUGAAUACUUUGGUCUGUGCGGCAGACAAGAAAUGGUGACACAGAUCACAGGCAGAAGGAUUCCCUGGUCUGGUUACUCUGACAUAAUCAGAAUGGACAAGAGGAAAUACCUGACCGAAGGAAACAGAUUGUCAAAAGUCCUUGAGCCAAGAUUAUUCAUUGCUUUGUGUUGCAAGCCAAAUGUGGGAUUCUGCAGGUUCAAAAUUGGAAAACUGCUGCCAGUCUCAUCCAGCUUUGGUUUAGUACAAUCUGCUCUCCAGGGUUUCUUGAGAAUAAAUUCCAGACACAAACCAUUCUUUGGAAGGAAAUAGUUGGUUACAGGCUCAUUUUGCACAGGAAGGGGAAGUACCCUCUGGGAUGAGUAAUAUGCAAAAUCAGGAGCAGAGGGAGUGCAGAAGUUAAAAGACUGAAGAAGACUUGGAGGAAAACCAGAAAAGAUAAGAUACAAACAGAAAGGUCUUUACUGUAUUGAACUUAAAGCCCUUCUGCUAAAAAAAGUAUGUUAAAAAUGCUUUUUUAGAGGAACAGAAGGAAAAUCCUUAAACUGCUUUUGAAUAGACAUAUUUAGAGCAAACAUCACUGUUUUCCCUCUACUUCGCACAGUGAACCUGCC
This 1008-nucleotide long non-coding RNA is filed under the name Cyanistes caeruleus (blue tit). RNAcentral describes it as "lncRNA (ENSCCEG00000015925.1)". Lineage: Eukaryota; Metazoa; Chordata; Aves; Passeriformes; Paridae. The record is from RNAcentral.